UAAAAUUAGUAAUAGUUAUGUUCUUGAAAUUUAAAAGAUUUGGCGGUAUUUUAAAUUUUUAGAGGAACCUGUUCUAUAAUUGAUAGUCCACGAUUAAAUGUACUUGUUUUAAGUUUAUAUAUCGUUGUAGAUAAAUAUUCUGUAAGGAAAUUAAUAUUUGUAAUAUUAAUAAUUAAUAAGGAUUCAAAUCAAGAUGUAGCUAUAAGUAAGAAGAAAUGGGUUACAAUUAUUUUAAUAUUGAAUUAGAUAUUUUAAAUAUUUAUGAAAGUGGAUUUAAUAGUAAUUUGGUAUAUAAUUGUUAAAUGAAUAAUUCUAUAAAAUAUGUACAUAUUGCCCGUCACUCCUGAUUAAA
RNAcentral lists this ribosomal RNA (352 nucleotides) under Vindex sp. CB015. Its description in RNAcentral is "partial 12S ribosomal RNA". Lineage: Eukaryota; Metazoa; Arthropoda; Insecta; Coleoptera; Passalidae. The record is from RNAcentral.